RNAcentral lists this unclassified non-coding RNA (1647 nucleotides) under Daphnia pulex (common water flea). RNAcentral's name for it is "protein tramtrack, beta isoform-like, transcript variant X1". Lineage: Eukaryota; Metazoa; Arthropoda; Branchiopoda; Diplostraca; Daphniidae. The record is from RNAcentral.
UGAAAGAAUCGAGAAGCAGUUACGUGUCUCGUAUUUCCCGUUUCUGGAAUAUUUAAUUGAAAGAUUGAUCUUGUCUAUUUUCUGGAAUCGUCGGCUUUUAUUUGCUUCACUGGUUAAUUUGUCGAAAGAAGGUGUUUGACUUGUCCGUUUGUUUCACUGUUCAAACCAGACAAAGGAAAAGAUUUAGUCUCAAUUCCAGCAAUGGAUGCCGAAGAAUUCUGUGUGCGGUGGAAUAACCAUCACCAUGUUUUAGUUAGUGUCCUUGACAAAUUAUUGGAGAAGGAAUCUAUGUGUGAUGUGACUCUUUCCGCUGACCAUCAAUUUGUUAGAGUUCACCGACUAGUAUUGUGUGCUUGCAGCAACUACUUUGAGGAAAUGCUGAGCAAGCAAGUCGACAAACAGGCAUUCAUAUUCUUAAAAGAUGUCAGUUUCCCAAAUCUCAGGGCACUGGUUGAUUACAUGUAUAAAGGAGAAGUAAAUGUUGCCCAGGAACAACUUGUUAGUUUUUUGCAAACAGCUGAAGCCCUUGAUAUCAAAGGAUUGGCAUACAAAGAAGGUGACCAGUCUAAAUUCAAAUCUGGUCAAAAUGCAAGGACUAAUGCUGCCAAGAGAACAUUAAGUGAAUCAACAUCAACUCCGUCAGUUGUAUCGACUCCCAGCAAUUCUCAACGACCCGAAAAUGACAACAUUUCACACACUCCUUCUCAGAACCAAUCAUCCUCUAGACCAAAACCGCCUCCUCCCAUGAAAGCUCAUGUGGUACCAUCGGAAUCUCCUACACAUCCAGCGAACACAGACUUAGAUGACCACUUUGUUGUAGUCGAUACGAAAAUGGAAUCGGAAUUAGAAUCUGACCACAUAGAAGACCAAAUAGAUAAUAACGGACCAGAAUCAUCACGGGACUGUGACGACGACUGGAGCACAUCUGACAACGGCAUGAUAUCCAUUGUACCCAACUCGACCCGCGAUAUUACCUUUGGCCCCUCUACAUCAGACACGCGAAUGGGAGACAAUGUUGCCGGACCCUCAGGAACACAACCCAAGGCUAACAAUUCAUCUAGCGGCGCAGCAUCUCGAGAACUAAGAGCGAAAAGAAAUGAAGAAACACUGGGAGCGAGGGAAUUGAGAUUGCGUGCUGUUAGGGAACGUUACGCCGCAAGGAAACGUAAUAAAACCCAAGAAGAAAAUAUCCUAUAUCGGGCUGAACAGGCUAAACGACAACGUAAAGCACGUCAACAGGAAACGCCCGAAAAGAGAGAAGAAAGACGCAGAAAAAAUAGAGAAUACUAUCAGAUUCGACGUGCAGCAGAAGAAGCCGAAGCUGAUCUUGCGAGAAGACGCGUAGAAGAAAUGCAUCAAGGAAUUCGUCUUACUGAAGAAAAACAGGAGGUGGCGGGAUUAAUCGUAUUUCUGGCCUCUACAUCAGACACGCGAAUGGGAGACAAUAUUGCCGGACCCUCAGGAACACAACCCUAGGCUAACAAUUCAUCUAGCGUCGCUGCAUCUCGAGGUAGGCAUUCCUCUUCAAUAUUAGUUCUCUACUUAGUGUUGUUAUUAGUCUUUGCCCGUUUCCAGGGGAAUGCAUCCGGACAGAAGAGAAGAAGCAAUGGAGCGAACCAUGGCAUACCAACGGGAGGCGCCUAAAAU